RNAcentral lists this long non-coding RNA (417 nucleotides) under Mytilus galloprovincialis (Mediterranean mussel). Lineage: Eukaryota; Metazoa; Mollusca; Bivalvia; Mytilida; Mytilidae. The record is from RNAcentral.
UUUUCUAAGUUGGGACCUAGGGGACUCAAAUAAAAACAUUCCAGGGUUAUACGGUUAACUGUUAAUGAGUUAUAUAAACACACCGACAAAUUUAUUUGUAAAGGUAGAUAACUCCUAUAAAAUUUCAUCGAAUCGCUUCGAUCCAAAUGCGCCAAAAAUUACUGAGGAUGUAACGAACAAUUUGUAAAAAGAAUUUUGUCGAUAUCUUUUUUUGUUGCGAAGGAGAUGCACACAGAUGAUAAACAGUGAAUAGGGAGAUAACUCUUACAAAGAAAAUGGUUCGGCUUAGCAGGGUAAAAUUUAAAAGCGCAUAAACUAUACGAUACCAUAUGAGAAAUAUCUAAGCGACAUAUUGCGAAACAAACAUUUAUCGCAAGAACAAAAUUUGGCGGAAAAAAAAAAUAAUAAUCACAAGAA